AUUGAACGCUGGCGGCAUGCUUUACACAUGCAAGUCGAACGGCAGCGCGGGCUUCGGCCUGGCGGCGAGUGGCGAACGGGUGAGUAAUACAUCGGAACGUGCCCAGGAGUGGGGGAUAGCUCGGCGAAAGCCGGAUUAAUACCGCAUACGACCUGAGGGUGAAAGCGGGGGAUCUUCGGACCUCGCGCUAUUGGAGCGGCCGAUGGCAGAUUAGCUAGUUGGUGGGGUAAAGGCCUACCAAGGCGACGAUCUGUAGCUGGUCUGAGAGGACGACCAGCCACACUGGGACUGAGACACGGCCCAGACUCCUACGGGAGGCAGCAGUGGGGAAUUUUGGACAGAGGGCGAAAGCCUGAUCCAGCAAUGCCGCGUGUGUGAUGAAGGCCUUCGGGUUGUAAAGCACUUUUGGCGGGAACGAAAAGGACUGUGCCAAUACCACGGUUGGAUGACGGUACCCGCAGAAUAAGCACCGGCUAACUACGUG
This 484-nucleotide ribosomal RNA is filed under the name uncultured bacterium. RNAcentral describes it as "partial 16S ribosomal RNA". It matches the Rfam family "Bacterial small subunit ribosomal RNA", at positions 29 to 507 of the family's 1533-position model. The record is from RNAcentral.